AAAGUCGUAACAAGGUCUCCGUUGGUGAACCAGCGGAGGGAUCAUUACCGAGUUUACAACUCCCAAACCCCUGUGAACAUACCUAUCGUUGCUUCGGCGGAUCCGCCCCGGCGCCCUCGGGCCCGGAUCAGGCGCCCGCCGGAGACCCAAAACUCUUGUUUAACUAAAAGGCCUCUCUGAGUACUGUACUUAAAUAAGUCAAAACUUUCAACAACGGAUCUCUUGGUUCUG
RNAcentral lists this unclassified non-coding RNA (231 nucleotides) under Fusicolla aquaeductuum. RNAcentral describes it as "partial internal transcribed spacer region". The stretch from base 1 to 47 matches the Rfam family "Eukaryotic small subunit ribosomal RNA", at positions 1785 to 1831 of the family's 1831-position model. The record is from RNAcentral. Lineage: Eukaryota; Fungi; Ascomycota; Sordariomycetes; Hypocreales; Nectriaceae.